GCUCUUCCAAAUGGUUCUGCUUUGAGAGGAAAACAUAAGGAAAGGAAUAGUAUUGUCAGUGCUACUUUCUAAACGCGCUACAUCGAGACUCAUCUAGUCACUAGUCCGUUCCCUAGAGAGCUCAAAGCACAGGGCAGAAUCACGGCAGCUCAGGGCCGGAAGGGCGCUGUGUCAGCGUAUCGGACCCUGCUGCAGCAUCCGCCUUCAAGGGGAGCUGAUGCUGUCUGGAGUGGCUAGCUCUGCUAGAUGCAGCUCUCAGUGGAAUGCGUUUCCUUGUGUUCACUGAUAACCUAUGUAAGAACACUUCAGCACUGGUGAUAAAAUGAUGGAGACACGAGGUGCCUUUCCUGAAGGAAAGGGAAAGAGGACAUGGCCCCACUAAAUCUGUAAAGCAGGUCUGUGUGGUUUGGAGUCCGGGCUGAAGCAGGCUAAAGGUACAAUGAGCCAGUCAACACAGUGUCCUGACCUGAGGGUUUCGCGUGUCCCACCACGUGUGAGCACUUGGGAACACACCAUGUGCAAACAUGGUGACGCCUGUGUCCUUGCUUCGUGAGGAAUGCUUUACGUGAACUGAUGCAGCAUGAAGCAUCUGAGCUCCCAAACAGGACUGAACCCACGCCCCGUGAAGUGGAAGCGCGGAGACUCAACCACGGCACUGCCAGGGAAGUCCCUCGCUAUCCUUCUUUUCCAGCCAUGAGCUGGACUCCAGUAUUAGAAGCCUCCCUUACGGAUGAAGAAAAUUAGACUUAAAAGAGGAUGAUGACAUUCUGCAAGUCACCAAGGAACAACGCGUGGAGCCAAGGUCUAGUCCCAGAGCCUGUUGUUUUAUCUGCCUCACUGAACCGCCAUCAAGGUUCAGCGGGCGGGGUUUCUCUGUGCUUCAUUUCAAAGAUGUAACACCUAUGUUAAUGAACUAGUUUCUGGCCCUGUAAGUUCUCCUGCACAUUCGUUAAAAACCCAGUCAUGACCCAGAAGAAGUACUUAUGGAAGUACUGACCAUUCAAGGU
Molecule: long non-coding RNA, 1007 nt
Organism: Capra hircus (goat)
Lineage: Eukaryota; Metazoa; Chordata; Mammalia; Artiodactyla; Bovidae
Exons: 3
Source: RefSeq, a predicted model, not a curated record